This is a long non-coding RNA of Poecile atricapillus (Black-capped chickadee), 1917 nucleotides long. RefSeq lists it as uncharacterized. Lineage: Eukaryota; Metazoa; Chordata; Aves; Passeriformes; Paridae. The transcript has 3 exons. The record is from RefSeq and is a predicted model, not a curated record.
AUCCAUACAGCACAAAUCAGAUCUGCCUUUUCCACGCCUUUUAUUUUCUCUCCAUCUUUCUUGCUGGCUCCUUCAGGUCCUGGAAGGCCUCAGUUGGGUUCCUCCAGUGCUGGGGCAGGUUUUUGUGACAGGCUUUUUGUGGCUCCUGAAGUGGGAUCCAAAGGAAAAUUCCAGUUCAUGGAGGGGAGGGCAAGGAGGACCCUGUGGGCAAAUGUAGACUGAAAGAGGAAAAGGCAACAAAUCCAUCCUGGGCUGCUUUUAAAGCAGAUUCCUUCUGGAUUUAUCUGUGGCACACCCUGCCCAGCAGGAGGGAAGAGGAGAAACCUCAGAAUUCCAGCAGAACCAGCCAAGGUGACUCUUGGAAUGGCUUUGAGCACUUAACUCACUGCUGGGAACCCUCUGGAGAUGCAGCUUCCAAGAGAAAUGGGCACUGCAAAAUGAGCACUAAAUCCAUCCUUUGCACCUGGACAGGAGGGAGAUCUGUGGCACAGCUUCCAUGGAAAAGCAAAACACACCCAGGAUCCCAACAAGGCCCUUCUGUGCUGCUCUGUUCUUCCCUGACCAAAACGAAGCAGCACCUUCUGGCUGUCCAGGCUGACAUCCAGGCAGCUGGAAGCUCUCAGGAAAACUUGGAAGCUGCCAAGUCACCAUUUCCAGCAUGACCUGAGUCCAUGAAAUAACCAAAGGAUUUUGUUACUGCAUCAUCUGCAGCAUUCCUGCUGCUGCUGCAUCUCCAGGCUCAGAGCCAGCUGGGUUUAUGUGGCACUGGUGGCAGCACAAACUGGCCUUUGGAAAGAUGGAACUUCUUUCCUUAUCCUGCAAAUUUGGUCGAGAAAACUCCACAUUUAAAAGGAGCCAAAGCUGCUGCUUCAGGAAUGACUGGAAUGUCCCCUCCGUGCCCCUGAUUCCUUUCACAUCCCUCAAGGUUAUGAUUUUUUAAAUUAUAAUUAAAAAAAAACAGCUCAUCUUAAGAGGAUCACUGAAAUGCCAGCUGUGAAUUGUGAUUCCUGCCUGGAUUGCCAUUUUCUGGAUGGGUUUGAAGUCAUGGAAAGGGGAGCUUUGUUUGGGAAGUUCAGCUACAACAGGACCUGGCUGUGGUCCCCUGGUGCAGGAAGCCACCCUUGGCUUGGUGGCUGCUCAGGGGAGGAAUGACCUUCCAGCCCUGAUGGGCAUCCCUUGGUCUCAUCCUGCUCCUAAAUCCCUCUGGAAAAGAAACCUCACCCUCUGGAAGCUGAUCCUUCAGAAAAUUCCAUGGGACUGGCAACCCUGGAAGUGCCAAUUGGGGUUUUGUUACAGAAGGAAAGCAAAAUGUGGUUUUUUUUCCCCUCCAUCAAAUAACAUCAUAAAUGUUGUCUCCUCCUUGUCCACAGGGCAUGGAGCAGUUGGGAUUGUUUGGAUCACAAAAUCCAAUUAAAGCAGGCAGAGAGGUUGGGCUGAAAGCUGCUGCUCCCUUUCCUGCCAGCACCACCCACCUCCCUUCCCUGGAAAAGCCAAAUCCCAUUACCCCAGGUGGGAGCAGCUCCUCCCUGCUCAGGCCAGCCAACCCUGGAGGGUGGAAAAGUCCUGCAGCACCAUUCCAGCAUCUCCCUGUCCCCACAUCCCACGCUCCCUGCAAGCUGGAGCUGCUCUGAGCUUCCUGUUUGGGAUUGGAAGCAAAUAUUGCCCUUGGUGUGCUCCCAGCACAGCUCCAGCUCCAGGAGUGCUGGGCAACUUCUGCUGGAUGUUCUUCCAAACAUCAUCCAGGGGCACAGCCAGAUCCUGCAGAAGAGGAGGAAAAAACACUGGAAUUGCAGCUCUAUGGAUACAGGAAGUCCUGGUUGGAAUUUCACUGGAAACCUCUGGGUUUGAGCAGCUCCACAGCAGCCUCUGCCCACCUGGGGGGACUCCAGCACCUGGAGGGGCUCCUGGCAGCACACU